This 476-nucleotide ribosomal RNA is filed under the name uncultured bacterium. RNAcentral's name for it is "partial 16S ribosomal RNA". It matches the Rfam family "Bacterial small subunit ribosomal RNA", at positions 30 to 507 of the family's 1533-position model. The record is from RNAcentral.
UUGAACGCUGGCGGCAUGCUUUACACAUGCAAGUCGAACGGUAACAGGUUAAGCUGACGAGUGGCGAACGGGUGAGUAAUGCAUCGGAACGUGCCCGAUCGUGGGGGAUAACGCAGCGAAAGCUGCGCUAAUACCGCAUACGAUCUGAGGAUGAAAGCGGGGGACCGUAAGGCCUCGCGCGAUCGGAGCGGCCGAUGUCAGAUUAGGUAGUUGGUGGGGUAAAGGCUCACCAAGCCGACGAUCUGUAGCUGGUCUGAGAGGACGACCAGCCACACUGGGACUGAGACACGGCCCAGACUCCUACGGGAGGCAGCAGUGGGGAAUUUUGGACAAUGGGCGCAAGCCUGAUCCAGCAAUGCCGCGUGCAGGAAGAAGGCCUUCGGGUUGUAAACUGCUUUUGUACGGAGCGAAAAGGCUCUCUCUAAUACAGGGGGCUCAUGACGGUACCGUAAGAAUAAGCACCGGCUAACUACGUG